UGCGUAGGCGGUUACUUAAGUAGGGUGUGAAAUGUCCCGGCUCGACCGGGGAAUGGCGCUCUAAACUGGGUGGCUUGAGUGAGAUAGAGGUGUGCGGAACUUCCGGUGGAGCGGUGAAAUGUGUUGAUAUCGGAGGGAACACCAUUGGCGAAAGCGGCACACUGGGUCUCAACUGACGCUGAGGCACGAAAGCCGAGGGGAAGGCAAACG
RNAcentral lists this ribosomal RNA (210 nucleotides) under uncultured bacterium. RNAcentral's name for it is "partial 16S ribosomal RNA". It matches the Rfam family "Bacterial small subunit ribosomal RNA", at positions 568 to 774 of the family's 1533-position model. The record is from RNAcentral.